Molecule: long non-coding RNA, 370 nt
Organism: Sinocyclocheilus grahami
Lineage: Eukaryota; Metazoa; Chordata; Actinopteri; Cypriniformes; Cyprinidae
Exons: 3
Source: RefSeq, a predicted model, not a curated record
ACUUGUGCUGUUUUCCCAGACAAACCCAGGGCUGAGGAUGCAAGAGAAGGGCUGUGUGACACCCAGAUGGUCUCCGCAGGAGGCCCAGAGGAAACUGAUGAACUUCAGCUCAUUCCAUGUUCAGAGCUGCUCCCUGAAGUGACCACACACAAACCUGCUGCUGAGACUACUGACAGUGUCUCUGAAGUACAGCAGCCUGAAAGGUCUCGUUUGACAAGCAAUAAUGAGGUACCAACUUAAUCUAUAUGAGAAAUUAUGAACUAGAUAUGUUAAUAAGAUCCUGUUAAAAAAAAAGUUGGAGAUUUGCAUAUUUAGCUUUCUGGCACCCCCUGUUGGUUAAAAACUCCACUUGCACACAAUAAUGCCACUG